UACGGAGGGUGCGAGCGUUAAUCGGAAUUACUGGGCGUAAAGCGCGCGUAGGUGGCUUGAUAAGCCGGUUGUGAAAGCCCCGGGCGCAACCUGGGAACGGCAUUUCGAACUGGCAGGCUAGAGUCUUGUAGAGGGGGGUAGAAUUCCAGGUGUAGCGGUGAAAUGCGUAGAGAUCGGGAGGAAUACCAGUGGCGAAGGCGGCCUUCUGGACUGACACCGACGCUGAGGUGCGAAAGCGUGGGUAGCAAACAGG
This 253-nucleotide unclassified non-coding RNA is filed under the name uncultured Halomonadaceae bacterium. Its description in RNAcentral is "contains 16S-23S intergenic spacer region". It matches the Rfam family "Bacterial small subunit ribosomal RNA", at positions 524 to 776 of the family's 1533-position model. The record is from RNAcentral. Lineage: Bacteria; Pseudomonadati; Pseudomonadota; Gammaproteobacteria; Oceanospirillales; Halomonadaceae.